GGACGGGUGAGUAACACGUGGGUAACCUGCCUGUAAGACUGGGAUAACUCCGGGAAACCGGGGCUAAUACCGGAUGCUUGAUUGAACCGCAUGGUUCAAUCAUAAAAGGUGGCUUUUAGCUACCACUUACAGAUGGACCCGCGGCGCAUUAGCUAGUUGGUGAGGUAACGGCUCACCAAGGCGACGAUGCGUAGCCGACCUGAGAGGGUGAUCGGCCACACUGGGACUGAGACACGGCCCAGACUCCUACGGGAGGCAGCAGUAGGGAAUCUUCCGCAAUGGACGAAAGUCUGACGGAGCAACGCCGCGUGAGUGAUGAAGGUUUUCGGAUCGUAAAACUCUGUUGUUAGGGAAGAACAAGUACCGUUCGAAUAGGGCGGCACCUUGACGGUACCUAACCAGAAAGCCACGGCUAACUACGUGCCAGCAGCCGCGGUAAUACGUAGGUGGCAAGCGUUGUCCGGAAUUAUUGGGCGUAAAGCGCGCGCAGGCGGUUUCUUAAGUCUGAUGUGAAAGCCCCCGGCUCAACCGGGGAGGGUCAUUGGAAACUGGGGAACUUGAGUGC
This 565-nucleotide ribosomal RNA is filed under the name Bacillus sp. PCSM78. RNAcentral describes it as "bacterial SSU rRNA". It matches the Rfam family "Bacterial small subunit ribosomal RNA", at positions 100 to 649 of the family's 1533-position model. Lineage: Bacteria; Bacillati; Bacillota; Bacilli; Caryophanales; Bacillaceae. The record is from RNAcentral.